Molecule: ribosomal RNA, 1057 nt
Filed under: Mirocaris indica
Lineage: Eukaryota; Metazoa; Arthropoda; Malacostraca; Decapoda; Alvinocarididae
Description: 16S ribosomal RNA
Rfam family: Bacterial large subunit ribosomal RNA
Source: RNAcentral
CUCGAAACAAAAAGAUCUAAGAUUUAAAGCAUGGCUAUGUGGUAAAAUGGUAUGAAAUUUAGUCUUAGUAAUGAUAUUUUAGUCGAGUUUUGUAUAUCUAGUUCUUUCCGAAGGGAAUUUAAUUUCGCUUUUACAUUUUAGUAAUGUAAGAUUAAAAAUUAAGAGGGAAAAGCUUCUUAGUUUUGCUAUAAAGGCAGUAUAGUAGUGUUUUAAAUUAGGCUUAAGAGCAGCCAUAUUAAUAAAGCGUUCUAGUUAAUUUAUUUUAAAAGUAAAUUUAUAUGUUUUUUAGUUAGUUAGGAGGGAGUUGGUUAGAUUUAUGAAAAUUUAGUUAAAAUGAUUUUAUUAGUAUAUUUAUUUGUAAUAUUAUUUAUAUUGAAAUAUUUGUGGAAAUAUAAUUAGUUAAAGAUGCAGAGAAGGAACUCGGCAAGUAUUAUUUUUGCCUGUUUAUCAAAAACAUGUCUGUACGUAGAAAAUGUAGAGUCUGGCCUGCCCACUGAAAGUUUUAAAGGGCCGCGGUAAUUUGACCGUGCGAAGGUAGCAUAAUCAAUAGUCUCUUAAUUGGAGGCUGGAAUGAAUGGUCGUACAAAAAAUAAUCUGUCUCAUCUGCAAAAGUAAAAUUUUACUUUUGAGUGAAAAGGCUCAAAUAUAUUAAGGGGACGAUAAGACCCUAUAAAACUUUAUAUAAAAGAAUUAAUUUUUAAAUUAUGGUAUAAGAGUGGAUUAGUUUUUGUUUAUUAUGUUGGGGCGACAAGAAUAUAAAUAGGUAACUGUUUGAGAAUUAAAAUAAUUAUUUUUAGAGAUAUUGAUCCUUUUUUAAGGAUUAUAAGAAAAAGUUACUUUAGGGAUAACAGCGUGAUUUUUUCUGAGAGUUCUUAUCGACGAAAGUAGUUGCGACCUCGAUGUUGAAUUAAGGUUUCCCUAAGGUGUAGAAGUUUUAGUGGUAGGUCUGUUCGACCUUUAAAAUCUUACAUGAUUUGAGUUCAAACCGGUGUGAGCCAGGUUGGUUUCUAUCUUUUAAUUUUUUAUGGAUCUACUUUAGUACGAAAGGACCAAGUAG